CAGCCGCCGCGGUAAUACGUAGGUGGCAAGCGUUGUCCGGAAUUAUUGGGCGUAAAGCGCGCGCAGGCGGAUCAGUCAGUCUGUCUUAAAAGUUCGGGGCUUAACCCCGUGAUGGGAUGGAAACUGCUGAUCUAGAGUAUCGGAGAGGAAAGUGGAAUUCCUAGUGUAGCGGUGAAAUGCGUAGAUAUUAGGAAGAACACCAGUGGCGAAGGCGACUUUCUGGACGAAAACUGACGCUGAGGCGCGAAAGCCAGGGGAGCGAACGGGAUUAGAUACCCGCGUAGUCCCUGUCUCUUAUACA
This 301-nucleotide ribosomal RNA is filed under the name uncultured bacterium. RNAcentral describes it as "partial 16S ribosomal RNA". It matches the Rfam family "Bacterial small subunit ribosomal RNA", at positions 509 to 809 of the family's 1533-position model. The record is from RNAcentral.